This 427-nucleotide long non-coding RNA is filed under the name Olea europaea subsp. europaea. The record is from RNAcentral. Lineage: Eukaryota; Viridiplantae; Streptophyta; Magnoliopsida; Lamiales; Oleaceae.
GUGUCAAUCAAUAUAAUCUUGAAUCGAAAAUAUUUUACCAGAACACAAAUAUAACAAAAUUUACAGUUCAUCCAAAUCCAAACUAGGUAAUUUUCAAUUCAGGCAUCUAGUAAAAAAGUAAAUAAAGAAAUGACUACUAAUUCAAAGAAAAUACAUUAAAAGAAUACAAGGCUCUGAACUGAUCAUUAGCAAGCAUGCUUUUGAGUUAUGCAGCUUGUAGCAAUAAAAUCACCUUGGUGCUUGUGAAGGUGGAUUAAGUAAUAGAUAACACAUAGUCCCUCUAACCGUUUCUUGACUAGUUCACCAAGAAUGUUUUGCUGCAAUUUUUCAAUAAACCUAUAUAAGAAGGAAGUCUUCUUAACAUUCUAUAACAAAAUAUAGAUAAUAAGAGAGAAGACUCAGUAUUUUCACACUAUUUUAAUUACUC